UCAACAGCGAAGAAGCAGCAGCACAUACGAUCUAGCUGCUCUCAAGUAUUGGGGACCCGACACACCAUCUUGAAUUUUUUGGUAAACCGAAAAAAGAAAUCAGAUUGAUGGGGUUUGAUGAUGCAUGUUGUUAUAGAAUUAGUUUGGUUUGUAUCUCGCCGAUCGUGGUGGUGGCGAGUUUAAUAAAAAUAUGUAGGCAUGGCCAUUUUACUCUCCCUAUAUUGACAAAAUGUUUAUGUCACCAAAUCAUUGGGGUUUCUUUUAUUUAAGCAUGGAUUCAAAUGCAGGAUUGUAGGCGUGGCAAAGCAUGGGGAAUUGCUCAAAAAGAUGUUGGCUAGGAUAGAGUAAGAACAUAGAUUGGUUAUUGAUUUCUUUCAACCGGAGGUUUGGCACUUCUUCAUGUAGUUCUUUUAAGUUGAGAUUGCUUCAUAAAAUUCUUGAUGGACGACAUGGAAAAGAUGAAGAAACAGAAAGAAAGAGAAGAUGUGUGAACUGAAUAUGAAUCUUAGCAAAUUUGGAGAACAAAUUGGUAGUGGAAGUACGAAGAAACCCGCAGAGGGGAAACAUAAGCUAGAGGAGAGAGUCCUCAAAUCAAUUGUAGGGUAUUUCAAGGGUAGUGUUCUUGAUAUGCAUUUGCUACAUUCUUGUUCUUGAAGAACUAACGACAGAGAUAAGAAGAUUACCAAUUACGGUAAGACCAAGAUCUGAGGAGAAAUUGGAGGAGACAAAGAGAGUAGAGGACAAAAGAAAAGAGACAAUAAGAGGAAAGGCAACUAACCGUGGUAACGAAAAGUCAAAAAUAAAAAUUACUAUAACACCAUGUAUUCUAUAAUUUAGAGUUAUAAGUAACUAAGAGUGGUCCAUAUUCACCUACAAUUACAAGUUUUUAUGAACUGUUUACCAUAUUCAUUCAAAAAAUUCCAUAACAAAGCCUGGUCC
Long non-coding RNA from Camelina sativa (false flax), 939 nucleotides. RefSeq lists it as uncharacterized. The record is from RefSeq and is a predicted model, not a curated record. Lineage: Eukaryota; Viridiplantae; Streptophyta; Magnoliopsida; Brassicales; Brassicaceae.